UUUUACAGAAAUAGUUAAAAGAUGGGAUCAUGAGGCUAUUAAUCAACUGCCAGACUACAUGAAGAUAUGUUUUCAGAUUCUUGAUAAUGUCACUAAUGAAAUCAGCUACAAGGUGUACAAGGAGCAAGGCUUUAACCCUGUGCACUCACUAAGGAAAGCGUCGUCCAGUUUGUGCAACGCAUUUCUAGUUGAAGCAAAAUGGUUUGCUGAUGGAAGCAUGCCUAAGGCCGAAGAAUACUUGAAAAAUGGGAUUAUUAGUUCAGGGAUACAUGUGGUACUCGUGCAUGUAUUUUUCUUCUGGGUCAGAAUGUAACAAAGGAAACUGUUCAACUUAUUGACAACAAUC
Molecule: long non-coding RNA, 346 nt
Organism: Mangifera indica (mango)
Lineage: Eukaryota; Viridiplantae; Streptophyta; Magnoliopsida; Sapindales; Anacardiaceae
Exons: 3
Source: RefSeq, a predicted model, not a curated record